CAGCAGCCGCGGGAAUACGAAGGGGGCUAGCGUUGCUCGGAAUGACUGGGCGUAAAGGGCGCGUAGGCGGAUCACGCAGUCAGAUGUGAAAUUCCUGGGCUUAACCUGGGGGCUGCAUUUGAGACGCGUGGUCUAGAGUGUGAAAGAGGGUCGUGGAAUUCCCAGUGUAGAGGUGAAAUUCGUAGAUAUUGGGAAGAACACCGGUGGCGAAGGCGGCGACCUGGUUCAUUACUGACGCUGAGGCGCGAAAGCGUGGGGAGCAAACAGGAUUAGAUACCCCCGUAGUCCCUGUCUCUUAUAC
This 301-nucleotide ribosomal RNA is filed under the name uncultured bacterium. Its description in RNAcentral is "partial 16S ribosomal RNA". It matches the Rfam family "Bacterial small subunit ribosomal RNA", at positions 509 to 807 of the family's 1533-position model. The record is from RNAcentral.